GCCCAGAUAGCUCAGUUGGUAGAGCAGAGGAUUGAAAAUCCUCGUGUCGGUGGUUCGAUUCCGCCUCUGGGCACCA
This 76-nucleotide transfer RNA is filed under the name Aestuariibacter salexigens. It matches the Rfam family "tRNA". From Rfam's summary of the family: Transfer RNA (tRNA) molecules are approximately 80 nucleotides in length. Their secondary structure includes four short double-helical elements and three loops (D, anti-codon, and T loops). Lineage: Bacteria; Pseudomonadati; Pseudomonadota; Gammaproteobacteria; Alteromonadales; Alteromonadaceae. The record is from RNAcentral. RNAcentral also lists the same sequence under 12 other names.